RNAcentral lists this ribosomal RNA (468 nucleotides) under uncultured bacterium. RNAcentral's name for it is "partial 16S ribosomal RNA". It matches the Rfam family "Bacterial small subunit ribosomal RNA", at positions 28 to 507 of the family's 1533-position model. The record is from RNAcentral.
GACGAACGCUGGCGGCGUGCUUAACACAUGCAAGUCGAACGGAAAGGCCCUGCUUUUGUGGGGUGCUCGAGUGGCGAACGGGUGAGUAACACGUGAGUAACCUGCCCUUGACUUUGGGAUAACUUCAGGAAACUGGGGCUAAUACAGGAUAGGAGCUCCUGCUGCAUGGUGGGGGUUGGAAAGUUUCGGCGGUUGGGGAUGGACUCGCGGCUUAUCAGCUUGUUGGUGGGGUAGUGGCUUACCAAGGCUUUGACGGGUAGCCGGCCUGAGAGGGUGACCGGCCACAUUGGGACUGCGAUACGGCCCAGACUCCUACGGGAGGCAGCAGUGGGGAAUAUUGCACAAUGGGCGGACGCCUGAUGCAGCAACGCCGCGUGCGGGAUGACGGCCUUCGGGUUGUAAACCGCUUUCGCCUGUGACGAAGCGUGAGUGACGGUAAUGGGUAAAGAAGCACCGGCUAACUACGUG